CCCUGGGAUAGCUCAGUCAGUAGAGCAUGAGACUCUUAAUCUCAGGAUCAUGGGUUCGAGCCUCAUGUUGGGCA
This 74-nucleotide transfer RNA is filed under the name Podarcis lilfordi (Lilford's wall lizard). RNAcentral's name for it is "tRNA.Lys". The stretch from base 9 to 66 matches the Rfam family "tRNA", at positions 8 to 63 of the family's 71-position model. Rfam says of the family: Transfer RNA (tRNA) molecules are approximately 80 nucleotides in length. Their secondary structure includes four short double-helical elements and three loops (D, anti-codon, and T loops). The record is from RNAcentral. Lineage: Eukaryota; Metazoa; Chordata; Lepidosauria; Squamata; Lacertidae.